Molecule: non-coding RNA, 113 nt
Organism: Acanthosepion pharaonis
Lineage: Eukaryota; Metazoa; Mollusca; Cephalopoda; Sepiida; Sepiidae
Source: the annotation of a GenBank genome assembly
UUACGACCAUAUCACGUAUAAACACUAUUUCCCGUACGAUCAAUGAUGCUAAGCAAUGUCGAGCUUGGUCAUUAGCUAGAUGGGGGACUUCUUGGGAAUACCAGGUGCUGUAU